GACUCGGUAGCUUAGUGGGUAAAGGGCUCGUUUAGCAUACAAGAGUCCUGGGUUCGAAUCCCAGCCGAGCA
RNAcentral lists this transfer RNA (71 nucleotides) under Aedes aegypti (yellow fever mosquito). It matches the Rfam family "tRNA". From Rfam's summary of the family: Transfer RNA (tRNA) molecules are approximately 80 nucleotides in length. Their secondary structure includes four short double-helical elements and three loops (D, anti-codon, and T loops). The record is from Rfam by way of RNAcentral. Lineage: Eukaryota; Metazoa; Arthropoda; Insecta; Diptera; Culicidae.